GACGAACGCUGGCGGCGUGCCUAAUACACGCAAGUUGAGCGCUGAAGGUUGGUACUUGUACCAACUGGAUGAGCAGCGAACGGGUGAGUAACGCGUGGGGAAUCUGCCUUUGAGCGGGGGACAACAUUUGGAAACGAAUGCUAAUACCGCAUAAAAACUUUAAACACAAGUUUUAAGUUUGAAAGAUGCAAUUGCAUCACUCAAAGAUGAUCCCGCGUUGUAUUAGCUAGUUGGUGAGGUAAAGGCUCACCAAGGCGAUGAUACAUAGCCGACCUGAGAGGGUGAUCAGCCACAUUGGGACUGAGACACGGCCCAAACUCCUACGGGAGGCAGCAGUAGGGAAUCUUCGGCAAUGGACGAAAGUCUGACCGAGCAACGCCGCGUGAGUGAAGAAGGGUUUCGGAUCGUAAAACUCUGUUGGUAGAGAAGAACGUUGGUGAGAGUGGAAAGCUCAUCAAGUGACGGUAACUACCCAGAAAGGGACGGCUAACUACGUG
Molecule: ribosomal RNA, 497 nt
Filed under: uncultured bacterium
Lineage: Bacteria
Description: partial 16S ribosomal RNA
Rfam family: Bacterial small subunit ribosomal RNA
Source: RNAcentral